RNAcentral lists this ribosomal RNA (1276 nucleotides) under Staphylococcus aureus. RNAcentral's name for it is "bacterial SSU rRNA". It matches the Rfam family "Bacterial small subunit ribosomal RNA", at positions 31 to 1299 of the family's 1533-position model. Lineage: Bacteria; Bacillati; Bacillota; Bacilli; Caryophanales; Staphylococcaceae. The record is from RNAcentral.
AGCCGUUGCGGCUGCCUAAUACAUGCAAGUCGAGCGAACGGACGAGAAGCUUGCUUCUCUGAUGUUAGCGGCGGACGGGUGAGUAACACGUGGAUAACCUACCUAUAAGACUGGGAUAACUUCGGGAAACCGGAGCUAAUACCGGAUAAUAUUUUGAACCGCAUGGUUCAAAAGUGAAAGACGGUCUUGCUGUCACUUAUAGAUGGAUCCGCGCUGCAUUAGCUAGUUGGUAAGGUAACGGCUUACCAAGGCAACGAUGCAUAGCCGACCUGAGAGGGUGAUCGGCCACACUGGAACUGAGACACGGUCCAGACUCCUACGGGAGGCAGCAGUAGGGAAUCUUCCGCAAUGGGCGAAAGCCUGACGGAGCAACGCCGCGUGAGUGAUGAAGGUCUUCGGAUCGUAAAACUCUGUUAUUAGGGAAGAACAUAUGUGUAAGUAACUGUGCACAUCUUGACGGUACCUAAUCAGAAAGCCACGGCUAACUACGUGCCAGCAGCCGCGGUAAUACGUAGGUGGCAAGCGUUAUCCGGAAUUAUUGGGCGUAAAGCGCGCGUAGGCGGUUUUUUAAGUCUGAUGUGAAAGCCCACGGCUCAACCGUGGAGGGUCAUUGGAAACUGGAAAACUUGAGUGCAGAAGAGGAAAGUGGAAUUCCAUGUGUAGCGGUGAAAUGCGCAGAGAUAUGGAGGAACACCAGUGGCGAAGGCGACUUUCUGGUCUGUAACUGACGCUGAUGUGCGAAAGCGUGGGGAUCAAACAGGAUUAGAUACCCUGGUAGUCCACGCCGUAAACGAUGAGUGCUAAGUGUUAGGGGGUUUCCGCCCCUUAGUGCUGCAGCUAACGCAUUAAGCACUCCGCCUGGGGAGUACGACCGCAAGGUUGAAACUCAAAGGAAUUGACGGGGACCCGCACAAGCGGUGGAGCAUGUGGUUUAAUUCGAAGCAACGCGAAGAACCUUACCAAAUCUUGACAUCCUUUGACAACUCUAGAGAUAGAGCCUUCCCCUUCGGGGGACAAAGUGACAGGUGGUGCAUGGUUGUCGUCAGCUCGUGUCGUGAGAUGUUGGGUUAAGUCCCGCAACGAGCGCAACCCUUAAGCUUAGUUGCCAUCAUUAAGUUGGGCACUCUAAGUUGACUGCCGGUGACAAACCGGAGGAAGGGGGGGAUGACGUCAAAUCUCCUGCCCCUAUGAUUUGGGCUACCCCCUGCUCAAGGGACAAAUAAAGGGCGCGAAACCGCGGGUCAGCAAAUCCCCUAAAGUGUUUCCCCUUCGGAAG